UAUCAUUUUCCCAAAGGACUCUUAGGCCUUAACUUUCAUGGAACCUAAUCGCGUUAGACUUGAGAAGAGAAUAAAUUUGGUGGUGAUAUGCAAAGAAAAAAAAUAAACAUGUAAUGCAGUUGAUUAAAUAGGUUUUGAGAAACUAUGGAUGAAUGGUGUUGUUAGGGUUUACAAUUUCAUCUUAUCCACUCUCAUAUAUCUACUCUUCUUAUUUAAUUCACUUAUUUAUCUAAUUUCCAUGCAUACUUUCUUAAUUACCCUUAACCCAAUCUCUUGGUGAAAAGAUCCUAUUAUUAAUUACCGGUUUGCUAUCCCUAGCCUCCCCUAGUAACCCAUAAUGCAAUGCGAUCUGAAGCAAUUACAAUUGACCGUCCUACCCCUAUCCCUAGGCGAUAUUAGCAUAAUCAAGGAAUUUCC
RNAcentral lists this long non-coding RNA (417 nucleotides) under Vigna radiata. RNAcentral describes it as "long non-coding RNA (VRAD_LNC015163)". The record is from RNAcentral. Lineage: Eukaryota; Viridiplantae; Streptophyta; Magnoliopsida; Fabales; Fabaceae.